Molecule: non-coding RNA, 2489 nt
Organism: Camellia sinensis
Lineage: Eukaryota; Viridiplantae; Streptophyta; Magnoliopsida; Ericales; Theaceae
Source: RefSeq, a predicted model, not a curated record
UAAAUUGAAGCCCCCCCUUUUUUUCCCCUCAUGCUCGCAAAACCAGUUGUAUAAAAAAGUCCACUCGAUCCUCGAUCCUCGAUCCUCGAUCCUCUCCUCCUCUGCAUAGCCUCUGUUUCUUUCGCUCUCUUCUCUCUUUCUAGGGUUUAUCAGUAUCAAUUCAUAAACCAUAAAUUCUUCACUAAACCUCUCUACGAUUUCACACUCGUAAGAGCUCUCAAACCCAUAUAAAUCAUCUCUCUUUCUCUUUCUCUUUCUCUCCAACGGUUCUGAGAUUCACUUCAAAUUCCUUCAAAUCACUGGUUGGUGAGGUGAAUUUUGGGGAUUUUUGCGUUUUAAAGCCGUAAAUGAUACGAGGGUUUGAAUAUGAACGAUGGAGGUAAAGUGGAGAGCAAGAGAGAGACUGAGAAUGAAAACGAACCACCAAAACGAUCCAGUGCCGAUGAGUUUGGCCGAGCCGUGUCGCAGAUUGCGGUGGCUCAGAUAUGUGAGAGUGUUGGGUUUGAGAGCUUCAAAGACUCUGCUUUGGAGGCUCUCACAGAUAUUGCGGUUCGAUAUCUCCGUGAUUUAGGAAAGACGGCGAAUUUUUAUGCUAAUUUAGCUGGUAGGACUGAGUGUAACGUGUUUGAUGCUAUACAAGGGUUGGAAGAUUUGGGAUCGUCUAGGGGGUUUUCGGGUGCUUCAGAGGUUAGUCAUUGUCUCACUGGUUCGGGUACAGUGAGGGAGAUUGUUGAUUAUGUGAGGAUUGCUGAGGAAAUCCCAUUUGCUCAGCCAGUCCCACACUUUCCGGUGAUGAGACAUCAGACUAUGACCCCGAGUUUUAUGCAAAUGGGUGAACCGUCAACAUUUAAGCACAUUCCAACUUGGUUGCCUGCGUUUCCUGAUCCUCAUACGUAUAUACACACAGACACAUGGAAUGAAAGGGAAAAUGAUCCUCGUGCUGAUAAAAUUGAGCUAGCUAGGCAGAGGAGGAAGGCAGAAAGGUCUUUGUUGAGUUUGCAACAGCGGUUGGUAUGCAAUGGUUCUGCAGUAGCUUCCACUUCAACAAAUGAGAGUAAUGACGGGAAGGCUUUACAAAUUGCCAAAACUAAAAGCCCGUUUCUUGCUACGCCUUCGCAAGAUGGGGAGAAAGAUGUUUCUCCAAUUCCACUGCCAGCUAAGCUUUCUGAUGAAGCUGUUGCUGAAAGCCAUGUUUCUUUGUUAGACACGUUUGCUCCUGUUAUUGAAGCAAUGAAGGGUGGUUUUUGUGAUUCCGAAUGUAGGGUUCUUCCAGACAGGAGGCCUGCUGUCCAUUUGAAUUUUAAAACAGGCAAGAAAAUUUUAGGUGAAUCUCUAGAUUUGAGACUUCAAAGUAGAGGUUCUGGGAAAACAGCUUCUUGGAUUGAGUGGGAUGAUGAGAAAGAUGACAAGAAAAGGAGAGCUGAGUUAAUUCUUAGACAAUCUAUGGAAAACUCACAGGAGCUCACUCAGUUGUGACUAAUUUAUUGGAUGGCUUGCUUGAUGGAAGUCAUUGUAUUCUUCAGAAAGUUAGCAAUGUACCAAGGGAGCUGAAAUGUUAAAAGCAUAUUGUAAUGCAGUGCUUGUUAUGAGCAUUCAGGUGGAGACCCUUGUAGUCCCAGCUGAAAACAAUUUUUUAAGUGAUAUUUUGGCCAGAGGAGCAGACCAUUGAGAAGCAUUUCAUCCUUCUCCAGGUUUGUUGGAUUUUGGUGUUCUUGUUUGGAAAAACUGUUGUUUGCCCUUGGAUUGUAGCUGAAGGAGGCGAAGGCAAGGACUUCAUAUUCAUUCCAAUGGAGAGUGCCUCUUUGUUUUGUUUGAUUUGAUCUGUUGGCAGCUUUGGGGUUAUUGUACUUUUAGUUUGUUUGGCUGGAGGUGUCAGUCUGCUAUUAUGGUGGCAUGAAUUAUCAACAAGGGGCUUUCACGUUGCAGGGAGCAAUGAAGACAACAUUUGCUUAAAUGAUGGACUUUCUUUAAGGAUAUGAUGUUAUUUAUCUGAACAUGUUUGGUGGGAUGCGGAGGAAAUUGAAGAAUUCUUUGGAGCUCAUUUGCUUUGCACGGUACGACCAAAACGCCCGGUUGAUCAAAUCCAAAUUCUUGCUCGGCUGCUUCCAACAACUUGACAAAGGGAGGAUAUGCAAGGUAACUUAAUGCAACCAAGAACUUCCUUGCUUCUUCACCAUUGCAGAUGGCUAGCACCGGGAAGUGUCCUUCCAUGGGGUUCGCUUCAUCGAUGAUCUUCUUGGUAAUGUUGCAGUCCCCGGUUUCCUGUUUUAGAAGGCAGAGGAAACCCUUCUGCAAUUGCUUCACUGCAUACUUAACCCAAACAAAGCAUCCACUGCUUUUGAAGUUUUUUUGCAAUCUAGACUGACCCAUGUGCUUUGAAGGUUUUUUUUUAUCACCAAAUCCAAAAUCUCUGCUCUUUUUGAUGUUUUGUAAUGGGAAGAUGUUUCGGGAUAUAUAUAUAUAUAUAUAUAGAAACAGAAGUUGUUGAA